RNAcentral lists this ribosomal RNA (253 nucleotides) under uncultured bacterium. RNAcentral describes it as "partial 16S ribosomal RNA". It matches the Rfam family "Bacterial small subunit ribosomal RNA", at positions 524 to 776 of the family's 1533-position model. The record is from RNAcentral.
UACGUAGGGGACUAGCGUUGUUCGGAAUUACUGGGCGUAAAGCGCACGUAGGCGGAUUUGUAAGUCAGGGGUGAAAUCCCGGGGCUCAACCUCGGAACUGCCCUUGAUACUGCAAAUCUCGAGUCCGAUAGAGGUGGGUGGAAUUCCUAGUGUAGAGGUGAAAUUCGUAGAUAUUAGGAAGAACACCGGUGGCGAAGGCGGCCCACUGGAUCGGUACUGACGCUGAGGUGCGAAAGCGUGGGGAGCAAACAGG